GACGAACGCUGGCGGCGUGCUUAACACAUGCAAGUCGAACGGAAAGGCCCUGCUUUUGUGGGGUGCUCGAGUGGCGAACGGGUGAGUAACACGUGAGUAACCUGCCCUUGACUUUGGGAUAACUUCAGGAAACUGGGGCUAAUACCGGAUAGGAGCUCCUGCGGCAUGGUGGGGGUUGGAAAGUUUCGGCGGUUGGGGAUGGACUCGCGGCUUAUCAGCUUGUUGGUGGGGUAGUGGCUUACCAAGGCUUUGACGGGUAGCCGGCCUGAGAGGGUGACCGGCCACAUUGGGACUGAGAUACGGCCCAGACUCCUACGGGAGGCAGCAGUGGGGAAUAUUGCACAAUGGGCGGAAGCGUGAUGCAGCAACGCCGCGUGCGGGAUGACGGCCUUCGGGUUGUAAACCGCUUUCGCCUGUGACGAAGCGUGAGUGACGGUAAUGGGUAAAGAAGCACCGGCUAACUACGU
This 467-nucleotide ribosomal RNA is filed under the name uncultured bacterium. RNAcentral describes it as "partial 16S ribosomal RNA". It matches the Rfam family "Bacterial small subunit ribosomal RNA", at positions 28 to 506 of the family's 1533-position model. The record is from RNAcentral.